CUGCAGGAGGGGGCUCAAGCCUGCCACUGCCAAUGCCUGUGGACAUAAGAGACAGGAGUUACUAGGAGGCUCCACCCCUCUGCCAACUGAGCAAUUAUGAAGCUAAUAUUUUUCCAGAGAGUUCUGCUUAGAAUUCUGGAAGCCAAGAUCCCAUCUACCUCACUGAGACCUGGUGUGAUAUUUAAUUCUAUCUGGAUAUAUUUUAAGGAACAUUUCCUUCUGAUAUAACGGCAGUUCCCUUUUGCUACAGGACCUUACAGUUGAGUACAACAUGGGUCAUCCCACGUUUAGACUGGCUCUACCAUCCGUAGCAUCUGGAUUCCGACGCUCUGGCUUUCCCACCAUAACAGAGAGGACAGUGAUGAUGUACUGUAUCCGUGAUUAAAGGCUUUCCACGCCUGCCUUCUGUCCCUGACUGUUUCUGAGACGUCUGAGGGUAGGUCUGAAUUUCCACCAUCACUGUGACUCUCCACUGUCCACUGCUCAGAUGUGAUACGUUUGUUGAAAAGAAUGGGACCCUUUGGGACCAAAUGGUGGGAAUGUCCAUCCCGGGAUGACAGAGAGGAUGGGUUGGAGGUGCCAGAUCAUACACAGGGGAAACUAGUUUCCUUCCUAUGGGCAUGAGGACAGGUGGGCAAACCAACCUGGAGAAACCUUUUGAAAUACACACACACUGUCCCUACAGCCUGCUUUUUUUCCUCCUUCCCAGCUCAUGAGGGUCCCCAGCUUCUGGGUACCUGGAAAUCCAAGGGAAGCAUAAUGCUAUGCGCAUUAUCUUGGAAGGCUUAUGACUAUAAUCCCUAUUUAGAGAGUGCUUUGGCUUUGAGCUGAAGUGAUAUCAGUUUAGAAAACACGUAUGUGCACACAUGCACACAUACAUGCUUACACAUGUACACGCACAUAUACAUGUACACAUACACGUUGAAAACACAGGACCCACCCAAAGGGAGUUUUUAAUUAAAAAGGUAACCUGUGGUGUUCAGGUGAGAGCCUAUUUGCUGCAGAUAAUGUAUUGGCCAUAGCCUGAAGUUUCUCCUCCAUCUCAGAGUGAGUAUGGUACAGGUGUUCCCACUUUCUCAGCUGUGUCACGCCAUGAUGGAUUUUAUAUAAUGAGUCUCCCUGGGUCUUAGUUUCUCAAAUGCUGUGAUUAUAAGCAUGGCCACCAGGCCUAGCAUUUCCUACCCUCAACUAUGUUGCUGACAGGUGCUGCCAUCACUUCUGCAUUGCAGUGGACAGACAGACUGCUCUGAAGUUCAAGUUCCAGGUCCCAUCAAUCCCUAGGCGUACUGUAUCCACUCACUUGUAUGCGUGUAGCAUAAGGCAGUGUGGGGGUGGGAGGAGGGAUAUCUGUGCACUGUAAGGCGAAAGCUCACAAGCCCCGAACCUUCCAAUUAGACUCACGAGAGGAAUCCUCACUAGAGUUUAUUGGGACCUGCCUAUGUGUACAGAAGUGGACAGUCUUACUUAGGGGCAGAAGGGAAGACAGAAGAGUAUCUGGGGAACUACUGUCAUCCUAGGGGGUGCGGCUGUGGCCUGGUCACAGAUGUUAAUACCUGAUGAUGAACCAGAUGCAAGGGCAAGGCUGUCUUCUGAGAGAUGUCUCCCCCUUGAUCCUUUUGUCGCUUUAGACAUUCCAGAUGGAAGGAGGCCCUUCGACCUGCAAAAGUAGCCGGGGAACCGGAAUCAGGACGCAGGACAGAUGGCACCGCCCCGUGACAGCUCUGAUAUCGUUUGGAUCACAAUGUCUACCAGGGACCACGCAUUAAAGGCUCAGUCCCCAGUUUGGUAGAGUUGAAAGUACUGAUGAUGGAACUCAGGAUCACAAGCAUGCCUAGCAAACACUCUACCACUGAGCUAUGCUCGCAGAACUCCUUGCAUCUUGAAGGCUGACAGAGUACAGCCUGUUUGCUUUGAAUCCAACCCUGCAAUUAAGCACACUUAUUCCAAGAAUGUAUAUAUCUGUCUGCAGGGGGAGUUUGGGACACAAGGAUCUCAUAUUCUGGUGCUGCCCAGCCUUGCUUCCAUCCCCAGCUACAUAAGCCCUCUUCAGUUGUGCCCACUCUCACAGACCUGACUUCUGCUUGGCCUGGAACACAGCUCCAGCUACCCUGGCUGAUGGACUUGCUCUGCAUGUCUGUGCCCCUUGGCACUGAUAGCGCUCUGUGGGUAGCUGGUUAAAAAGGCCCACAUUUUCCCUUCUUCUAUGACCUCUUAGCUCCUUAACUGGAUAGAACAAAUCUUCUGGAUUUAAAAUCUGGCUUAUUUGGAGUCAGGCAAGUAUUUAAUAAGAACAAGGAUCUCUUCAUCUUAGCCUUUUUUUUUUUUUUAACUUUAAGGGCCCAAAAAGCUGGUGCAUACUAAAGCUCUUUCAGGCAAGUGAAGGGUAUCUCCAUUAGUCAGAAACGUUUACAAGGAGUCUAGAGAGGCCCAUGCUUAAGUAUGUACUUCUUAAACAAUAUUUAUUUUUGCAGGAUCUGAUACAUCCAGCACCUUCUGUUGUAAUUCUGUUUUAUUUAUUUGUAUCAAUUAUUAUUAAUUUAACCACAUAAUUACGAGGCACAGUGUGAUCAUUUGGCAUAGGUAGAUAAUGUGUAAUGACGAAGUCUAGUUAGUUACGCCCAUUUCCUUAAACAGCAAGCUUCACUGACUAUGUAGCACCAUGUAAUCGCACAGUAUUUAUCCAGUGCACCGAGAUAGUUAAACAGGCAUGCACUGUAUGUAAUGAAGGUCUCCAUCUUUUUAUUUUACUUUGUGUUUGGCACCUUUGGGGUCCUCUUGUCUAGUUAUUUAUAAACUGCAUGCUGAUCUGACUCUUCAGAGCACCACUUCUUACCAGAUGGGCAUUACAGCCACUCAGUGGAUCAAGAUGGAAGCUAAAGAUUCCCAAGAGGACUGGGCUAGCAUCCCUAAGUGUGCCAACUGUGCCUCUUGAGGGCAGCCUUAAGAGAAGCUGUACCAGAACAAGUUUAUUUAAGCAUCAGUAUAUGUGAGUACUGACUCACACUAGGAAAUACACCUUGGUCACAGCCCCAAAGUUUAAAAAAAUGCUAUUUAAAAGGUUUCCUGGAAGUGUUCUGCAGUGAGACAACCCAAGCUGCAGAGGGAAUCCUGGGUAGGUGUUCCAGACAUGCCAUUGUCUGGCCUAGAGGAAGGGAUCUCAGCACUGCUCAGUCCCCACCCUGUUCUACACGUACUAUCGCCUGGACAGGAGGCUUACAUAUCUGUGGAGAGCAGGCUGGGCUCACUGCAGUACUCGGCUUCUUCACUCAUCCUUACGCUGCGGGUCUCAUCUGGAAAUAUCUCCUGAUUCACCGUGGCUCCCUGGCUCUCUCGGGAGUGGCACCUGCAGCAUCCGAGGGUGGGGAAAUAUCAGAAUCCAUCAGGCCUUCUCCCCAGCAAGUAAGAUGACAUUGGCCAUACACAGAGACAUGGUCCACGGGUUCUGAUGAUGCCACAGAGCCACAGAUGCCACAAGCUGUGUCAGGGCUCUGUGUGGAAGACUCAAGGAGGUCUGAAUUCUGCUACCAACUCUCACACUGUGGCCCAAGACCUUUAGCUCCCUCCAUGCCUCAGUUUUCUCCUCGAUAAUAGUAGGUAGAAUAACAUGCAUGACGCAGGGGCUUAGUUGUAAGGUGACUGUUAUACAAGCGUGAGGCCCCAGGCUCAAUCCCUAGUAUUCAUGAGAAGCUGGGAGCCACCAGCUGAAUUGGUGAGCCCCAGGUUCAGUGAGGAAUCCCAGCUCAGUGCAAAGUAAUCGAAGGUACUGGAUGUCAAUCCCUGGCCUCCGCACACGUGCACACACAAGUACAUGUACCCCAUACACAAACUUAAACAUGUAAAGACAGAUGUGGAGACUUGGUUUUGAAGCAGCAUCCUGGUCUGGGCAGUCAAUACAAGGAACCACAGGCUAGCUGUGGGCAGCAGAGCCUUUAGGAGAUGGCUUGACCCAACUGACAAGUCCCUGGAAUCCUAUUCAAUACCUCUCUGUUCUGACCCUGAAGGGAAGGCACAGAGCAGGGACCCCACACAGAAGGCUUGUCUGAGCAGACAGAAUAAGCCCAUCUUUCCUGGUGUUGUCUGGGUAGGGUAUGUGAGCCCUCAUGGCCAGGCCUACCCUCCUGCUUACCUCUUAGAGCUGAGCUUCCAUGCUGCCUCCUGUACUCGGACAGCAGGGGACAAGGGAGGCCCAUGGCCCUCCACAGUGCUGACCGUGCUGGAGUAGCCAGCGGGAUGGGGGAAGCGGCCCAGGGCAGUGUUGUUGGCAUUGUUGAUGUUGGCAUUGGAGCCCGUGGAUGAGUAGCUGCUGGGGGUGAACGUGGAGUCCACCAGCUUCUCAUGGGACGGUGACUCAGUGUCAGCUUGGUUGUUCCCUGUCUUGUUGAUGUGCAGUGGGCGCUGGGUGGCGAACGUCUGAGGAAAGUUGCCCCUGCUGUCACUCUGAUAGUAGGUGACAUGGUUGCCGAACAGGCCUCCAGCCCUCUGGGGACAAGACAGAGGUGCAGGUGUAGAAGGCGUCUCCAUCAUCUCUCUCUCCUCUCCCCCUCACCCCUGCUUCCCUUGUACGGCAGUGGUUGAGAGGCACAGGCCACAGGGGAGCGAGCUUGACCUUCAGUUUGACCUCUACCACACUCUGGACACAUGGUAAAGGGAGGGACUUAGAUGCUCGUGGCCCUACAGGUACCCUACAGCACCAGGGCAGGAAUUCCUCCUGGGCCUGGACAGGCAAGUGGUUGCUGAUCUAGAAGCUUCCCUGGAAGGUUGUUCCCAAAAGAGCACUGGAGACUGAGGUUGGGUUUCAGGGACAAGUCUGAGAUGGCGUUCCCCCACAGAAGCCAGCUGUUUAGCUUUGGGGAGCCUGCUGGGAGUGCUGGAGGGGUGGGGAGAUGGAAGGGAAGGCAGGAACUAGAUUGUUUCAGUGGAAAUAUAACUGGCCUGUGGAGCUAGAAGCUGCACUGUGCAGAUUGAAGCUAGGUGCGUAGAGUCUACUGACUCAGUGAUAUCAUGGCUCCCUUUCCUGUAGGGGAUCCUCUGAGACUUGAAGUCAGGGAUAAGUGAUUUUCUCCAAUAUUCCUACUUUGUCCCAGAGCAAGGGGUGGGGGAAGUGAUGGUUUGCAAGGUUUGUCUAAUAAUCUUUGAUAUCUGAACGUCCCUGGGUUCUGGUGACAUCUUGGCUUCUAAGGUCUUAUGAGAGUGGUGUUGUGUAUCUCUGAGGCCAUUCACUGAUGGACAACUCAGUGAUGCCAGGAAGGUUGCAAGGCUGGCCAUAGCAGGGUGGGCUGGGCUUGGUUCCCUGUGUGCUUUAUAGUCUGGGAAACGGAUCUGGGGACUGGGGUUGGCAGAAAGAACAAGGGAGGUAACAAGAUGGGAGACUGUCGUUGUACGGCACAGCAGUGUUUGAUCUUUCCCACUGCAUUAAUAUUACUCCAGAAAAAGAGGAGGAGGCCUGGAGGGUACCACUGUGCCCCAGACAUCACAUGCUCCAUCUUAACCGGGCAGCUGAUGUUUGUCUGUCUGCCACAUGAGAACCCACAUCGAACAUGAAUGCUUAACCUACUUGUCCUCCAAGAAAAGCCGUAAGUUUAUAUUUCUACUUAGAUGUGCCAGAUAUUCAAAUAUUGGUGAAUAAAGCAGGCUUUCAGAUUAGAUGUGGCUCAGGAGUUCCUAUUCCACACCUUCUGAUGAGAAACUUCUCCAGGAAAAUUCCUUUCUAGAAACAGGAUCCCCCUGUUCUCUGAGAGCUGGCCAUCUUUUGAGCUGCUGUGUCCUAGAAGGAUGGCAUGGCAUGGCCUGGGCUCAGGAAGGAGGCAGAGGAUCAGGAGAUAGCUGGUUAGGGAGAGUGGGCACUCCUCAGAGAGAUAAGGCAAAACCCUGAGACUUAGUGCACGGUUGCCCCCGACUGAACUUCACAAAGGACACCAGUCAUGGCACUUACCCUGAAGAUGUCAUCUUCGGAGGCAGCAGACACCGCCUCCUUCAUAGCCUUGUCCAACUCCUCCUCAGCAGUCAGAUCCCCAGAGAUGGCCCGCCGGAUCUCAGGCCCAAUGUCAUGCAAGGUGCGCAAGCCAGCCUGGAACCCAGAAGGACACGUGAAGACCCAAGUCCUUUCCACUGAUCUUUCCACCUCGUGGCUCCUUCCCAAGUCCCUGCCUCUCUGCUCUGCCAGGCAGUUGGUUCUCCACACCAGGUGAUGGGCUUCCCUGGACACCCCUGCCCCCAUCAUCCUAGAGCAGAAGAAUCUAUCCAUCUUUCUAGGAGGAAUUAAGGUAUGUUACAGGAUCAGCAAGAACCAGGGGCUAGGAGAGGCAGCAGGGCUGCUGAGGGAAGCCUGUGGGCCAGAAUGUGAGGGGGAGGGGGAAGAAGAGCACACUGCCUUCCCAUAGCCGCCUUCGGGUUACAGUGCUCACAGGGGUUCUUGUGAUGGGACUUAGCCUCUAGGUAGCUAGCAGGGCUUGGACCCUCAAUAGGGUCAGUGGGAGGUGACCAGGACCUUUGAGUGUGGGCACCCCCUUCCAGCCCCUCACCUGGAGGGACAGUGCAUUCCUUUGUGAGGGCUUGCCCACCAGCCCCUGCUCUUUUCGCUUCUUGAAUUUCCUGAAGUACUCUUGGAUCAGGAAGGUGGCAUAGAACUUGCCCACUGUGACCUCGUCAUCUAAGGCAUACGGAGAAGAGAAAAAGAUGAGUGAUCCCACCAGGUUACCUUGAUAUUUUUCAGCACCUAAAACUUCUUUUAUUUAUUAAACUGCUUGUUCCUGUCUGUA
Molecule: long non-coding RNA, 6758 nt
Organism: Mus musculus (house mouse)
Lineage: Eukaryota; Metazoa; Chordata; Mammalia; Rodentia; Muridae
Product: predicted gene, 38887
Exons: 3
Source: RefSeq, a predicted model, not a curated record